Molecule: ribosomal RNA, 253 nt
Filed under: uncultured bacterium
Lineage: Bacteria
Description: partial 16S ribosomal RNA
Rfam family: Bacterial small subunit ribosomal RNA
Source: RNAcentral
CACGUAGGGGGCUAGCGUUGUCCGGAAUCAUUGGGCGUAAAGAGCGUGUAGGCGGUCCGGUAAGUCCGCUGUGAAAGUCGGGGGCUCAACCCUCGAAUGCCGGUGGAUACUGUCGGGCUAGAGUGCGGAAGAGGCGAGUGGAAUUCCUGGUGGAGCGGUGAAAUGCGUAGAUAUCGUCUGGAACGCCAAAGGUGAAAACAGACUGCUGGGAGUGUGCUGACGCUGAGACACGAAAGCCAGGGGAGCAAACGGG